ACUGCUACUGCCACCACAGCCCCUCUUCCGGGAACACCGAGCUCCCCAACCCUUACUUCAGAAGUCUGAGACCUCCGACCUUAUAUUUUUGUUUUAUUAUAAUUUUUUGUUCCCUCUUGUCCUUAAGAAAUAUUCAAUCAAUAAAAUUGGACUUCUCCUUUUGGAGGGCUUCCUCACUCUGCUCCCCCCUUUUUUUUUUGCUUUGCUUUCUGCAAUGAGAUGC
RNAcentral lists this long non-coding RNA (223 nucleotides) under Elaeis guineensis (African oil palm). RNAcentral's name for it is "long non-coding RNA (EGUI_LNC068977)". The record is from RNAcentral. Lineage: Eukaryota; Viridiplantae; Streptophyta; Magnoliopsida; Arecales; Arecaceae.